GUGUUCUGUGUCAGUGUUAUUGUGUGUCAGUGUUAGUGUGUCAGUGUGCUCUGUGUGUCAGUGUUAUUGUGUCAUUUGUGUUCUGUGUCAGUGUUAUUGUGUGUCAGUGUGUUCUGUGUGUCAGUGUUAUUGUGUCAGUGUGUUCUGAGUGUCAGUGUUAUUAUUGUGUGUCAGUGUGUUCUGUGUGUCAGUGUUAGUGUGUCAGUGUGUUCUGUGUGUCAGUGUUAUUGUGUCAUUGUUAUUUUGUGUCAGUGUUAUUUUGUGUCAGUGUGUUCUGUGUGUCAGUGUUAUUGUGUGUCAGUUGUUAUUGUGUGUCAGUGUUAUUGUGUGUCAGUGUUAUUGUGUGUCAGUGUUAUUUUGUGUCAGUGUGUUCUGUGUGUCAGUGUUAUUUUGUGUCAGUGUGUUCUGUGUGUCAGUGUUAUUGUGUCAGUGUUAUUGUGUGUCAGUGUUAUUGUGUGUCAGUGUUAUUGUGUCAGUGUGUUCUGUGUUUCAGUGUUUGCGUGUUACCUGUGUCAGUGUGUCAACAUUUCCGAAUGAAAGUGUGUUCACACGUCCGCGUGUGUGUUCCUGUGUGUCAGCUUGUUCCCCUCUGUUCAUGUUCCAGCGUAUUCCCGGUUCUGUUCUAGCCCGCACGUAUCACUCUUUCCCCCUAUCUUAAUGUGUUCCCGUGUAUUCCCGGUUCACUUCUAAACAACCCCGUGUAGAAUUUUCCUGACCGGUAUUUUAAGGGUUGUUUAAAGAGCGACCCGGAUGACACCUCGGCACACGGCUGGAAGCGUGCGAACGGCGUCGUGCCUUCGUCUCCCAGCUGCAGCGUUCAGCCGGGGUUCAGCGAGAGGUCACAGCACCUGCAUCUCUUUACACCUUCUCUCCCCAAAGAUGGGCUCAUUAACACGGCAUUAACGCCAGACGCUUAUUUAUCCUGUCACGUGCUCACAAUUGGAAACAAACAGAGGAGAGAAUGAAAUGGAGGGAGGAACAGUUUGAACAAGAACCUUUAGAGGAAAGGCAUCUUAAUAUAUAUGAUGAUAUUAGGGCUGAGAAAAAAACAUCCAUAAAUCUGCUCAGAUGAUGAUACAUGAUGUAUAACACUAAUCUUUAAA
Long non-coding RNA from Ictalurus punctatus (channel catfish), 1103 nucleotides. Lineage: Eukaryota; Metazoa; Chordata; Actinopteri; Siluriformes; Ictaluridae. The record is from Ensembl.